AUUGAACGCUGGCGGCAUGCUUUACACAUGCAAGUCGAACGGCAGCGCGGGCUUCGGCCUGGCGGCGAGUGGCGAACGGGUGAGUAAUGCAUCGGAACGUGCCCAGUAGUGGGGGAUAGCCCGGCGAAAGCCGGAUUAAUACCGCAUACGACCUGAGGGUGAAAGCGGGGGACCGAAAGGCCUCGCGCUCUUGGAGCGGCCGAUGUCGGAUUAGCUAGUUGGUGGGGUAAAGGCUUACCAAGGCGACGAUCCGUAGCUGGUCUGAGAGGACGACCAGCCACACUGGGACUGAGACACGGCCCAGACUCCUAAGGGAGGCAGCAGUGGGGAAUUUUGGACAAUGGGGGCAACCCUGAUCCAGCCAUGCCGCGUGCGGGAAGAAGGCCUUCGGGUUGUAAACCGCUUUUGUUCGGGAAGAAAUCCUCUGGGCUAAUACCCCGGGGGGAUGACGGUACCGGAAGAAUAAGCACCGGCUAACUACGUG
This 484-nucleotide ribosomal RNA is filed under the name uncultured bacterium. RNAcentral's name for it is "partial 16S ribosomal RNA". It matches the Rfam family "Bacterial small subunit ribosomal RNA", at positions 28 to 507 of the family's 1533-position model. The record is from RNAcentral.